GUGUCAGCCGCCGCGGUAAUACGUAGGUCCCGAGCGUUGUCCGGAUUUAUUGGGCGUAAAGCGAGCGCAGGUGGUUUAAUAAGUCUGAUGUAAAAGGCAGUGGCUCAACCAUUGUGUGCAUUGGAAACUGUUAGACUUGAGUGCAGUAGAGGAGAGUGGAAUUCCAUGUGUAGCGGUGAAAUGCGUAGAUAUAUGGAGGAACACCGGUGGCGAAAGCGGCUCUCUGGACUGUCACUGACACUGAGGCUCGAAAGCGUGGGUAGCAAACAGGAUUAGAUACCCUGGUAGUCCACGCCGUAAACGAUGAGUGCUAGUUGUUUGGGGCUAUCCAGCCCUAAGUGACGCAGCAAACGCAUUAAGCACUCCGCCUGGGGAGUACGACCGCAAGGUUGAAACUCAAAUGAAUUGACGG
This 412-nucleotide ribosomal RNA is filed under the name uncultured bacterium. RNAcentral's name for it is "bacterial SSU rRNA". It matches the Rfam family "Bacterial small subunit ribosomal RNA", at positions 505 to 916 of the family's 1533-position model. The record is from RNAcentral.